Long non-coding RNA from Trematomus bernacchii (emerald rockcod), 268 nucleotides. RefSeq lists it as uncharacterized. The record is from RefSeq and is a predicted model, not a curated record. NCBI's taxonomy places the organism in Eukaryota, Metazoa, Chordata, Actinopteri, Perciformes, Nototheniidae. The transcript is spliced from 2 exons.
AAGGACGUGUUGUGCACAUGUUUUUUGAGCUGUGUGAAGAGGUCUGGGGUGGCUCGCCUGCAACGUGCUCCCUUAGCUCGGGCAUCGAGACGGGGGACCUGGAAGAGUCGUCUUCCGGACCAAGCUCACCCCGGAGUUUGGAGCGUUCCAACGAUUCGCCACCGCCAGAGUCGAGCGAAUCCAGCGGAAGUCUGCCAGCUGCUGCAGUUGUACAGCAUCGCAGGAAUCUGCUCCAGGUGCAGCUGAACGGCCACAGAAGUGACCGCUU